RNAcentral lists this ribosomal RNA (253 nucleotides) under uncultured bacterium. RNAcentral describes it as "partial 16S ribosomal RNA". It matches the Rfam family "Bacterial small subunit ribosomal RNA", at positions 524 to 776 of the family's 1533-position model. The record is from RNAcentral.
UACGUAGGGUGCAAGCGUUAAUCGGAAUUACUGGGCGUAAAGCGUGCGCAGGCGGUGAUGUAAGACAGGUGUGAAAUCCCCGGGCUUAACCUGGGAACUGCAUUUGUGACUGCAUCGCUGGAGUGCGGCAGAGGGGGAUGGAAUUCCGCGUGUAGCAGUGAAAUGCGUAGAUAUGCGGAGGAACACCGAUGGCGAAGGCAAUCCCCUGGGCCUGCACUGACACUCAUGCACGAAAGCGUGGGGAGCAAACAGG